This 512-nucleotide ribosomal RNA is filed under the name Agathemera crassa. RNAcentral's name for it is "partial 16S ribosomal RNA". The stretch from base 386 to 512 matches the Rfam family "Bacterial large subunit ribosomal RNA", at positions 2473 to 2600 of the family's 2925-position model. Lineage: Eukaryota; Metazoa; Arthropoda; Insecta; Phasmatodea; Agathemeridae. The record is from RNAcentral.
AAAACAUCUUUUCUUGAUUUUAUUUGAAAUUUGACCUGCCCAAUGAUUAUUUUAAUGGCCGCGGUAUAUUGACCGUGCAAAGGUAGCAUAAUCAUUAGUUUAUUAAUUGUGGACUUGUAUGAAUGGUUGGACGAAAUAUUUACUGUCUCAUAUUAAUUUAUUGAAUUUAAUUUUUUUGUUAGAAAGCUUAAAUUUUUUUGGAGGACGAGAAGACCCUAUAGAUCUUUAUUAUUUUAUUUUUAAUUUGUUUUAGUUUAUUUUUAAUUUAUUUUUAUAAUUUUUUGGUUGGGGUGACAUGGGGAUUAAAUAAACUCUUUUAUAUUAUUUGCAAUUAUUUUUGUUUAAUUGAUCUUUUAUUAUUGUUUAAUAGAUUAGAUACCUUAGGGAUAACAGCGUAAUUCUUUUUGAGAGUUCAUAUCGACAAUGGAGAUUGCGACCUCGAUGUUGGAUUAAGAAUAGAUUUGAAUGUAGAUGUUCAAAAACUAGGUCUGUUCGACCUUUAAAUUCUUACA